GGUGAGUAAUAUCAAUAAGUUAACCUGCCCUAGACCAGGGGGAUAACUAUUGGAAACGAUUAGCUAAGACCGCAUAGGUACGGACACUGCAUUGGUGACCGUAUUAAAAGUGCCUCAAAGCACUGGUUGAGGAUGGACUUAUGGCGCAUUAGCUGGUUGGCGGGGUAACGGCCCACCAAGGCGACGAUGCGUAGCCGACCUGAGAGGGUGACCGGCCACACUGGGACUGAGACACGGCCCAGACUCCUACGGGAGGCAGCAGUAGGGAAUUUUCGGCAAUGGGGGAAACCCUGACCGAGCAACGCCGCGUGAAGGAAGGAGGUUUUCGGAUUGUAAACUUCUGUUAUAAAGGAAGAACGGCGGCUACAGGAAAUGGUAGCCGAGUGACGGUACUUUAUUAGAAAGCCACGGCUAACUACGUGCCAGCAGCCGCGGU
RNAcentral lists this ribosomal RNA (436 nucleotides) under uncultured bacterium. Its description in RNAcentral is "bacterial SSU rRNA". It matches the Rfam family "Bacterial small subunit ribosomal RNA", at positions 100 to 521 of the family's 1533-position model. The record is from RNAcentral.